UACGGAGGGUGCAAACGUUGCUCGGAAUCAUUGGGCGUAAAGCGCACGUAGGCGGCCUGUUAAGUCGGGUGUGAAAUCCCUCGGCUCAACCGAGGAAGUGCAUUCGAAACUAGCGGGCUUGAAUGUGGAAGAGGGUCGUGGAAUUCCCGGUGUAGAGGUGAAAUUCGUAGAUAUCGGGAGGAACACCAGUGGCGAAGGCGGCGACCUGGGCCAACAUUGACGCUGAGGUGCGAAAGCGUGGGGAG
Molecule: ribosomal RNA, 245 nt
Filed under: uncultured bacterium
Lineage: Bacteria
Description: partial 16S ribosomal RNA
Rfam family: Bacterial small subunit ribosomal RNA
Source: RNAcentral